GGGUAAUGACCCAAACCUAUAUGGCCCCUGGGUUGGACUGCGGCCGAUCAGGCUGUUGGUGAGGUAAUGGCCCACCAAACCUGUAACCGGUACGGGCUCUGAGAGGAGGAGCCCGGAGAUGGGCACUGAGACAAGGGCCCAGGCCCUAUGGGGCGCAGCAGGCGCGAAACCUCUGCAAUAGGCGAAAGCUUGACAGGGUUACUCUGAGUGAUCUCCGUUAAGGAGAUCUUUUGGCACCUCUAAAAAUGGUGCAGAAUAAGGGGUGGGCAAGUCUGGUGUCAGCCGCCGCGGUAAUACCAGCACCCCGAGUGGUCGGGACGUUUAUUGGGCCUAAAGCAUCCGUAGCCGGUUCCACAAGUCUUCCGUUAAAUCCACCUGCUCAACAGAUGGGCUGCGGAAGAUACUAUGGAGCUAGGAGGCGGGAGAGGCAAGCGGUACUCGAUGGGUAGGGGUAAAAUCCGUUGAUCCAGUGAAGACCACCAGUGGCGAAGGCGGCUUGCCAGAACGCGCUCGACGGUGAGGGAUGAAAGCUGGGGGAGCAAACCGGAUUAGAUACCCGGGUAGUCCCAGCUGUAAACGAUGCAGACUCGGUGAUGAGUUGGCUUUAUGCCAACCCAGUGCCGCAGGGAAGCCGUUAAGUUUGCCGCCUGGGGAGUACGGUCGCAAGACUGAAACUUAAAGGAAUUGGCGGGGGAGCACCACAAGGGGUGAAGCCUGCGGUUCAAUUGGAGUCAACGCCGGAAACCUUACCGGGGGCGACAGCAGAAUGAAGGUCAAGCUGAAGACUUUACCAGACAAGCUGAGAGGAGGUGCACGGCCGUCGCCAGCUCGUGCCGUGAGGUGUCCUGUUAAGUCAGGUAACGAGCGAGACCCCUGCUUCUAGUUGCUACCAUUAUUCUCAGGAGUAGUGGAGCUAAUUAGAGGGACUGCCGUCGCUGAGACGGAGGAAGGAGGGGGCUACGGCAGGUCAGUAUGCCCCGAAACCCUCGGUACACACGCG
This 1000-nucleotide ribosomal RNA is filed under the name uncultured archaeon. RNAcentral's name for it is "bacterial SSU rRNA". It matches the Rfam family "Archaeal small subunit ribosomal RNA", at positions 177 to 1178 of the family's 1478-position model. The record is from RNAcentral.